RNAcentral lists this transfer RNA (73 nucleotides) under Ictidomys tridecemlineatus (thirteen-lined ground squirrel). Its description in RNAcentral is "Spermophilus tridecemlineatus (thirteen-lined ground squirrel) tRNA". It matches the Rfam family "tRNA". From Rfam's summary of the family: Transfer RNA (tRNA) molecules are approximately 80 nucleotides in length. Their secondary structure includes four short double-helical elements and three loops (D, anti-codon, and T loops). The record is from Rfam by way of RNAcentral. Lineage: Eukaryota; Metazoa; Chordata; Mammalia; Rodentia; Sciuridae.
GGGGGCGUGGCUCAGAGGUACAGCCUUUGCCUUUCAAAUACAAGAAUCUGGGUUCCAAUCCCCAGCCCCCCCC